Molecule: ribosomal RNA, 393 nt
Filed under: uncultured bacterium
Lineage: Bacteria
Description: partial 16S ribosomal RNA
Rfam family: Bacterial small subunit ribosomal RNA
Source: RNAcentral
AUACGGAGGAUGCAAGCGUUAUCCGGAUUUAUUGGGUUUAAAGGGUGCGUAGGCGGUUUGCUAAGCGGGAGGUGAAAUGCCGGCGCUCAACGUCGGAAGUGCCUCCCGAACUGGUGGACUUGAAUGACUCUGCCGUGGGAGGAAUGUGUAGUGUAGCGGUGAAAUGCUUAGAGAUUACACAGAACACCGAUUGCGAAGGCGUCUCACGAAGGGUUGAUGUACGCUGAGGCACUAAAGCAUUGAGAUCAAACAGGUUUAAAUACCCUGCUAGAGCACGCAUUAAACGUUGAUGGCUAGCCGUAGGGAUUAGCAGUUCAGUGGCCAAGCGAAAGCAAUAAACCAUCCACCUGGGGAGUACGACCGCAACGUUGAAACUGACAGGAUUUGACGUUG